GACGAACGCUGGCGGCAUGCCUAACACAUGCAAGUCGAACGGAGAAUCACUUCGGUGAUUCUUAGUGGCGAACGGGUGAGUAACGCGUAGGCAACCUGCCCUUUGGAUGGGGACAACAUUCCGAAAGGAGUGCUAAUACCGAAUGUGACGAUUUUACCGCAUGGUUUAAUCGUGAAAGAUGGCCUCUACAUGUAAGCUAUCGCCAAAGGAUGGGCCUGCGUCUGAUUAGCUAGUUGGUGGGGUAACGGCUCACCAGGGCGACGAUCAGUAGCCGGUCUGAGAGGAUGAACGGCCACAUUGGGACUGAGACACGGCCCAGACUCCUACGGGAGGCAGCAGUGGGGAAUCUUCCGCAAUGGGCGAAAGCCUGACGGAGCAAUGCCGCGUGAGUGAUGAAGGUUUUCGGAUUGUAAACUUCUUUUCUCAAGGACGAUAAUGACGGUACUUGAGGAAUAAGCCAACGGCUAACUACGUGCCAGCAGCCGCGGU
RNAcentral lists this ribosomal RNA (489 nucleotides) under uncultured bacterium. Its description in RNAcentral is "bacterial SSU rRNA". It matches the Rfam family "Bacterial small subunit ribosomal RNA", at positions 28 to 521 of the family's 1533-position model. The record is from RNAcentral.